UUCCUUACACUCAAGGACAAAUACUUGAAAGAAAUCUACCGGUGAGAACUAUUGUCAAACACCUUGAAGGAAAUCUAAGAACCGCUAAUGUACAAAUGCAAAAUCGUCGAGAAUUGGAUUCCGUGAGUUGUUUUGAUGGAGCCAGUAGUUCAAAUCAUUCGCCAGCAUAGUCCACAUUGGAUUCCACCCACCGGCUACUCAUUGACGAGCUCUUCUCUCAGGUACUAAUCGAUUUCUGCCCUCUCUAGGGUUUCAAUUUUCAGCAUAUCACCUCAUUUAUUGGAAUUUUCUUUAUUCAAUCGAUAGGCUGAAGCACAAGAGGCGAUAAUUUGAGACGUCUCGAUUCUGUGUGAUUUAGCAGAAGUUUUGUGUAGUGCCCAAGAGGGCGGAAAUGAAAGACAGUGAGACAGAGAGUUCAGGAGGAAAGCUAGGAAAG
RNAcentral lists this long non-coding RNA (436 nucleotides) under Olea europaea subsp. europaea. The record is from RNAcentral. Lineage: Eukaryota; Viridiplantae; Streptophyta; Magnoliopsida; Lamiales; Oleaceae.